Molecule: ribosomal RNA, 374 nt
Filed under: uncultured organism
Description: partial 16S ribosomal RNA
Rfam family: Bacterial small subunit ribosomal RNA
Source: RNAcentral
GAACCGCCCAAACGUUAUUCGGAAUCACUGGGCUUAAAGGGUGCGUAGGCGGCGCGGUAAGUCGGGUGUGAAAUCCCUCGGCUCAACCGAGGAACUGCGCCCGAUACUGUCGUGCUUGAGGGAGGCAGAGGUGAGCGGAACUGAUGGUGGAGCGGUGAAAUGCGUUGAUAUCAUCAGGAACACCGGUGGCGAAAGCGGCUCACUGGGCCUUUUCUGACGCUGAGGCACGAAAGCUAGGGGAGCGGGACGGGGGAUUAGAUACCCCGGUAGUCCUAGCUGUAAACGAUGAGCACUUGGUCGGAGGUUCCUCCAUAGAUUUCCGGCCGUAGCGAAAGUGUUAAGUGCUCCGCCUGGGGAGUAUGGUCGCAAGGCUG